RNAcentral lists this transfer RNA (85 nucleotides) under Felis catus (domestic cat). It matches the Rfam family "tRNA". From Rfam's summary of the family: Transfer RNA (tRNA) molecules are approximately 80 nucleotides in length. Their secondary structure includes four short double-helical elements and three loops (D, anti-codon, and T loops). RNAcentral also lists the same sequence under 2 other names. Lineage: Eukaryota; Metazoa; Chordata; Mammalia; Carnivora; Felidae. The record is from Rfam by way of RNAcentral.
GCCUGGGUGGCUCAGUCGGUUAAGCGUCCGACUUCGGCUCAGGUCAUGAUCUCGCGGUCCGUGGGUUCGAGCCCCACGUCAGGCU